GCUGCACAUACAUAUAAUAUAUUAUAAAGUGGUUUAUCACACAAGCUUUAAGUUACAACGAAAAAUUUAUUUUAAAGGCAAAUAUAUAUUAUAACAGCGCCUUCAAAUAGUGUUUGAAUAUUUAAUAUUUGUAAUUGCAGUAUAUAAUGUGCAGGCAAUUUGAAAACUUUUAUCUGCUUAAAAUUGUAAAUCCAAACCGUUCUCGAAUCCAUCUGAAGACACAAACAUUUUAUUAAAAUCGGCCCAGCCGUUUGAGAGGAGUUUUGUGACAUUCACUCACACAUAAGGAAAUAUAUACAUUUAAAAGAUAAGCUUCAUGUACUGUACAUAUCUCUAUGAAAAACAAAUCAAUGUUAAAAUUUGUUUAAAAACUAACCAGAUUCAUAAAUUAUUCUUCCAAUUUCCAGCCCUCUUCCUUCCAGUUUGUUACUUCAUUAUUACCAUAGACAAAAACAUUCUUCUCUUAGAAAGAAUAUCUUAUAAUGUAUGUUAAUACUCGUUCCAAUGUUCAAGACAUAUUAAAAACUAAAUAAACGGUUGUGAAGUAAAACAGUAGUUUCUAAUUCUUUCUAACUCGAUCAAAUUAGUUGUUUCACUGACCAAUAAAAAAAAUUAAACAUAUAUAGUUUACACUGACAUGUGAUGUAUUCUACAUAAUAAGUAAAAUCAUGUGAAUAUAUUUUUAUAUUUAUAGUUGCAAAGCUAUUACUAUGUAUUAAUGGUUCUUAAAAAGUGGAUUCAAAAUUUGCAGCACUUUAUAAAAUGACAAACUACUUGGCUAAGUAUGACUUUCAAUGGGUUUUUAUGGCACUAUUCCUGUUAAUAAAAAAGUAACGAGUGAUUUAAAUAAUUAUUUUGCAAUGUUGGAAUGGCGAAUUUCCUUAAUAAAUACAUAAUGGUCUGAUCCAAGCUUUAUAAUCUUUUAUUGCCUUCAAUUAGAUUCAUAGGCAAAAGGGAAGAUCAAUUAAUGAGAAAGAUGCUAGGGAAGAUCAAUUCAUGAGAAAGAUGCUGAAUAGGUGUAAGAUGUUUGAAUAAAUAAGUUGGGCACUGGCUUUUGAUGAACAUAUUAAAAGUUCCAUUAAAUCUUUUGCUUUUCUAUAGAUUACAAUCUUUUGCUUUUCCAUAAAUUGCCUGAUGAACAAAUUCUUCAUGUUUAAGUUGGUGGCAGUCAAAGCAUAUGUUUAUAUGGGAGUAUCUUGCUGUUUUAAUAUAUUGUAAUGUCAUUGUAUGAUCAUAUGGUCAGUAUCAACUAUACUCUCACUAUUUUCAUGUUUAUUUUUUACUUAAAUGGCUCAUUGAUUCUUUAUUAUGUCUGUUUUUAAUUGAAUGGUUUAUCUUUAUGUGAACCAAUAUUGUUAAACUAAUGAUAAUUACUGUUGAUAAUUAUUGUCAAAUUAAUUGCUGUAAAGUGUUUAUAGAUUUUUAAAUUUCACAGAUAUGUUUUCCACAAAGGAACAUAAUGAUCAGGGUUUCAUAUCCGACAGUACUGUAGCAUGCUCCUCCACCUCCAUAGACCUCUGCAAAAGGCCAUUGUCAAGCAGGUCUCGAAAGUGCUUUGACUGCCAUUUCCAGAAAUCUGUAGUUUCAUCACGGACAAAGCACUCACCCAGCAAAUGCUCCAAACCACAUCUCAGUUACAAAGCUGGCCGCAGACCGAGUCUGCUUCAGUGCAUGGAGAAACAAUCUCAGUUCAAGAAAAAAUCCAAGCUGUCUCAUAUUAACACAUGCUCAUCUCCUGUACGAUAUGAUUACAAGUCCCCACAGAUGUGCUGGACAAGUGAUUCACCCACGAGUGGACACGGAGGGAAAGGUGACAGCUUAGCGAGAAACAAUCCAGGAAAUCAAGUACAAGUCAUAUAUCCGGUGAUGGCCACACAAACUCCGUCUCAGGAACACGACAGCUUCCCGUUCAAGCCCACUCCAAGUGGGAACUACAAGCUGAAACCUAGUCAGGUGGUCUAUGAGUCCAAAAACCUGAGCAUUGUGGCAGCUGACCCCGGCAGUGUCAUGCUGAACGUCACCGAGUCCAACAAAACUGUGGAGACUGAUUUUGUCAACAGACCAGAGAAAGAAAACUGGGACACGACUUUCCUGUACACGUCGGUCGGGGCUGAUGGAAAGUUGCCAUUUGGCAGCGAACUCUCGGACACCAUCAGUGACUCAGAUGGUGGCUUUAUAAACCAUAAGUCAUCUGAUAAACCUUCAGAGAUAAGUCUAGCUAAAAUGGGUUAUGUGGUUGACAACUGCUUGGAUUGGAAGAACUUGAUCUUGCCGAAGAAAGCAGACCUGCAGAAAUUAUUGCUGCACAACGUACUCAAUAAGAUACAUCCUGACAUCCAGGUAAAAAUCGGAAGUUCUGUGUACAACUGUCACAGAAUUGUGUUGCAGUGUUAUUGCUCGAAUUUCAUUCCAAAAUCUGGUUCGGUAGUUGAAUUGCCUGAGAAAGAGGUCUCAAAAGAUGUCUUCUCGCAGAUCUACCACUGGAUGUUACAUCUCGGCACGGACAGCUAUAAACUUCUGCGAAGGGACAACAUUCUGGAGAUUUACAAGGCCGCCAGCUUCUUAAAGAUCAAGGAGCUGGAGGAUCAGUGCUGGGCGUUCAUCGACAAUGUGGAUGUGUUCUUUGAGGACAGAGCAUUCCUGUUGUACUUGGCCGCUAGGAAGUACGACAAUAAGACCGUGAUGGAACUGAUGAUUCCCAGAGUCCAGCGGUUCUUUCUGACUCUUGUCAGCUCCAGGGAGUUCGUGGAGUUCUCGUGUGAAGAGGUCUGCACUUUCCUUCAGUCGAACUACAUCUGCAUCCAUUGUGAGAUGGAAGUGUUCAUGGCAGGUGUGCGCUGGCUGGAGCACGACUGGAAUAGACGCAAGGAGCACGCUGUCGAGGUGAUGAGUUGUGUCCGAUUUGGCUUCAUCAAUCCUCGGGUCCUCAUCACACUGAGACGCAAUCCCCAAUCUCCGCAGUUUCUUCGAGUUGCCAACAUUCCUGAGAUUUCCAAGAUGAUUGACGAUGGUGUUGCGCUGUCGAUAUUGAAAACGUAUUUUGAAAAUGACUCUGACGAAGAUUUCCAGAAAAGUCUGAAAUUACUAGGAGUGACAAAUCCAGUUCCUCGUAACUGGGCAGGCAGUGACAAGAACUACCAGACCUACGAUGAGUUCAUGCAAGAAUUGAAUCACUACCGCAGCAAGCAGCGCCUUGAUGUCAAACUGUCCAGGAUGAAGCUGAAACUGGAGUCGGUCAACGACGACUUUCUGAGCUCUGCAGUCCUGCCACCUGCCACACAUCAGAAGAUAACACAGAUGGCUGGAGGAAGUGCUCUCAUACGAUGCCUCCCUCAGUUGGAGCCGAAGGAACUGGAGUUAUUAAAGAAGAUGAUCUGUCAGGACGGCACAUUGGUGGAGAACAAGGGGAAGAAGAUGAAGUCAAAACUGUGCGCAAUGGCAGAGGAAGAAUAUAAGCAGAAACCUUGCAGGAAGUCCAAGGAUGUCAGGAAGGCUCGACGACUGACUCCUGCAAUAGUCAUGAAUCCGGAUGAGGCAGCGAAGAAAAUCCAGAAAGCCUACAGACAUUACCAUCGCAGAAAGAGUGGGUCAUUGGUGGGCGUGACGGAAGGAAUCAUGUCAUCAGGCGGUCACGUCACUAAAAAUAUGAAGUCGAUGUCAGAUCCUUCUUUGCCUUCGUACCUCAUGAAGUCUUCUGUCUUGACAACAGGGGAAGAGGAUGUGUGCUGCAUACCUCUACACUUCUGCAAGGAGUCAUUGUUUGUGUUCGGUGGAGUAAACCCGUUUGAGGACGUCAACUAUUGUAACAGCGGCAGCAAAAUCUACCAGUACAUGAGCAGAAGCAACUGCUGGCAAGUUUACGGUGAGAUGCCCGAGCCCAGACACUACCACUGUGUGCUGUUCUUUCAGGGGUGGAUCUUUGUGGCAGGAGGCAAGCACACAGCGAAAGAGACAAAUGAUCCUGGAGCCAUCAGUCGCAAAGUAUGGAGGUUUAAUCCUACUUACAAGAAUUGGUCAUCUUUACGAGAUAUGAGACAUCCGAGACGCAGCUUCGGCUUUGUGGCCUGCAACAACCGUUUGUUUGCUCUUGGUGGGAGAGACGAUCAAGACAGGAUCCUGAACCAAGUGGAGAUGUACGAUGCUGUGGCAGAGAAGUGGGUGGAAGUGCAGCCAAUGAAUGAGGCCAGAGCCGGGCUGGCAGUCAGCGAGUACAACGGCCGCAUCUGGGUCGCUGGAGGGUUACUCAAUAGUGCUAACAUCGCUACCAAGUCUGUCGAGUAUUACAACGUUCAACAAAACACGUGGACGCAGGUGUCUAGCCUGCGCUACACUCUGGCGUACGGAGUGAUGGUGCCUAUGGAGGGCCGUCUGUAUCUGGUGGGCGGGGCUAUCGGGCUGCAGGACAUGCCGUCGUCAGGCAGUGGUCGCCAGAUCGAUGUGUGGGACCACGACAAUCAGAACUGGGCGCUCGCCACCAUGAUGUGCAAGCCCAGACACGCUCAUGCUGCUGUGUGUCUCAAAGGUGACACUCCACAUUCUGCGUAUUGUAUGGUGCUGGGGGGGAUGUCCACGAAGCACAACUCUGCACUGGAUAAAGUAGAGUGCUGGAACGUGCAAGAUAACCAAUGGAUACCUGGUAUUGCCCAGCUGCCUCAGCCACUCGCCGGACAUGUUGCCCUUGCCUUGCCCUCGCAUGUUAUGGGCUGACUCGUUAUCACCUGUCCCACACGUUGGGUCGAUUCACCACAACUUCUACAGCAACUUCUGGAGUGAAUGAAAAUGCGGCAAAACCUUAUUUUGGAAGAGGAUACUUAACUCGUAAGUAAGACUGACCUCAUCAGCAGGGUCGUAGUACUGCUCCAGGUAGGGGUGUGCGAGAGCAUCCUCUACCACUAUGCGGUUGUGAGGGUUGAAUGUCAGCAUCUUGUCUAGCAGGUCCAGGGCUUUGGAGUCAGCAUUGGGGUAAAGUCUGGUCCACGGGACCUUGGGCUUGAACGGCAAGGACUGCAGGUAACUUCUGGCCUGCAGUGGACAUAUCAUCAUUGUAACAUUCAACCACUGCAAUGUGAGAGAAUAUUGCACAUUUAACAAUUAAAAGUGACAACUUACCUUUUGAUUUUUUCUUCCAUUACAAAUAAACAUAUUAGAUGUUUUACUAUACAAUAAAAUCUAUUAAUAGGCACAUAUAGUACAUGAUUUGAAAGGAGCAACAGACUUGAAGAUAGAGGAAAUUAUGAAGAUAAGCAUGUAAAAUCCAUGUUCCAAUAAAAAAUUCAUGUGA
Homalodisca vitripennis (glassy-winged sharpshooter) is the source of this 5281-nucleotide RNA transcript. RefSeq lists it as uncharacterized. The transcript is spliced from 22 exons. The record is from RefSeq and is a predicted model, not a curated record. Lineage: Eukaryota; Metazoa; Arthropoda; Insecta; Hemiptera; Cicadellidae.